Molecule: long non-coding RNA, 369 nt
Organism: Thalassophryne amazonica
Lineage: Eukaryota; Metazoa; Chordata; Actinopteri; Batrachoidiformes; Batrachoididae
Exons: 3
Source: RefSeq, a predicted model, not a curated record
GCAACCGAUUGACAAUCUGACACCAGAGGAGAGGGACGCACGCACAGUCUUCUGCAUGCAGCUGGCUGCUAGAAUCCGAGCUCGAGACCUGGAGGAUUUCUUUUCAGCUGUUGGAAAAGUAAGAGAUGUGAGAAUGAUCUCUGACAGAAAUUCCAGGAGGUCGAAGGGCAUUGCAUACAUUGAGUUGUGGAGGCUGCUUCUGUACCGCUGGCGAUCGGGCUGACUGGCCAGAGGCUUCUGGGGGUGCCCAUCAUUGUCCAGGCUUCUCAGGCAGAGAAAAACAGAGCUGCUGCAGCUGCCAAUAAUCUGCAGAAGGGCAGUUCAGGCCCAAUGCGACUCUACGUGGGCUCGCUGCACUUCAACAUUACA